AAGAUCAUACUUUUAGGGAUCAUUUCUAUAGUAUGUAUCGCCAGGACAUCAGGUAAAACUGAUCCUGGACAACAAACCACGAUGACGAGUCAAAGUGGU
Molecule: small nucleolar RNA, 99 nt
Organism: Lineus longissimus
Lineage: Eukaryota; Metazoa; Nemertea; Pilidiophora; Heteronemertea; Lineidae
Product: small nucleolar RNA U3
Exons: 1
Source: RefSeq, a predicted model, not a curated record